Long non-coding RNA from Stegodyphus dumicola, 353 nucleotides. NCBI's taxonomy places the organism in Eukaryota, Metazoa, Arthropoda, Arachnida, Araneae, Eresidae. The record is from RefSeq and is a predicted model, not a curated record.
GGGUUGCCACUUGCGCUAACGACACUAUCUUGGAAGAGAUCUCUCCGCAAAUUAGGGCCUGAAAUGAUCCUGUAAAUAUCACUCUGAGGUCUUUAGUCUCAACAUUUGACGUUUAUUAAAUCUUCUACAUGGAACUCGAUCGUCAAAGGUCUCGCCAAAAAAGUGCGCCAGAUGGUAAUAAUGAGACUCAGUACCAUUUCCCCGACACUACAGACGCAAGACGACAGAAAGUAGCCAAACAGAUUAGGCGACGGAAGACUCUGGACGAAACGGACACUAAGGGAAAUACGAACGGAAGAAGCUUAUCUAUCGACAAAGGAGUUCUUAAGUUUGAUAGCAAAGAAUCAGAAGCC